AUCAACAAAGGCAAUAAGGACAUGACAAAUACUUUAUUCAAACCAUCUAAUGGUGCAAAUGCCAGUUUUGAAUAACAAAAUACCAUAUUUAAGUUUCAUUGGAGAAGGCUAUCCUAUCAGGUAACAGGUUAGAAGAAUCAAGAAAGAGGCAGUAUGGUAUAGCUAGAAGACAAAUGGAAGUGGGGCAGAGUUCAAACUCUGUACCAUAGCCGAAUGUACAGAGGUUGCUGUUUCCUAUGAAAAGGGAAAGGAGCAUGAAAGCACUGCUCAAAACGUGCCAAGACAGGAAACAAAGUGAAGAUCAAGGAAGCAGCAACCAUCAAGAGCCCGUCAUGGAAAAUUAUAGGUAUUGGUUUGUACCAGCCCAUUGGCAUGGGGUGUAAACCUUCCAGCUCAUCUGGUCAUUAUCAAGGCAAGGCAAAAUUUGUGCGGUAUCUUUUUCAUUUGGUUCCAAUAUUUACAAAGAAUGGAAGUCAACCUCAAAACCAUAACUCUGCCCUCCAUACUGCACAUAAAGGUACUCUUUCGGAGAUGAGGAUGGGGCGGAAUUUGUAA
RNAcentral lists this long non-coding RNA (555 nucleotides) under Prunus dulcis (almond). RNAcentral's name for it is "sRNA ncRNA". Lineage: Eukaryota; Viridiplantae; Streptophyta; Magnoliopsida; Rosales; Rosaceae. The record is from RNAcentral.